This 253-nucleotide ribosomal RNA is filed under the name uncultured bacterium. Its description in RNAcentral is "partial 16S ribosomal RNA". It matches the Rfam family "Bacterial small subunit ribosomal RNA", at positions 524 to 776 of the family's 1533-position model. The record is from RNAcentral.
UACAGAGGUCCCAAGCGUUGUUCGGAUUCAUUGGGCGUAAAGGGUGCGUAGGUGGCGCCGUAAGUCGGGUGUGAAAUUUCGGAGCUUAACUCCGAAACUGCAUUCGAUACUGCGGUGCUUGAGGACUGGAGAGGAGACUGGAAUUCAUGGUGUAGCAGUGAAAUGCGUAGAGAUCGUGAGGAAGACCAGUGGCGAAGGCGGGUCUCUGGGCCGAUACUGACGCUGAGGAGCGAAAGCGUGGGGAGCGAACAGG